AACCCAUGCCGAACUCAGAAGUGAAACGCCGUAGCGCCGAUGGUAGUGUGGGGUCUCCCCAUGCGAGAGUAGGACACUGCCAGGCA
Molecule: ribosomal RNA, 86 nt
Filed under: Yersinia enterocolitica
Lineage: Bacteria; Pseudomonadati; Pseudomonadota; Gammaproteobacteria; Enterobacterales; Yersiniaceae
Source: RNAcentral